RNAcentral lists this long non-coding RNA (623 nucleotides) under Pan troglodytes (chimpanzee). Its description in RNAcentral is "long non-coding RNA NONPTRT001502". The record is from RNAcentral. Lineage: Eukaryota; Metazoa; Chordata; Mammalia; Primates; Hominidae.
GGAGGUUCUGAUCAGCAAAUAAGGAAGGAACAACAUCUGACAUCUUUACCCACUUUAACUCAUCAAGCAAAGAACUUGUAAUACGCUGAAUGCUGCAUAGAAGGUUCUGAAACUACUUACCUGCUGUGGAACACCUGUAUAACUUUAAAAUGCAUCAAUCAAUCUCGAGAGUAUGACCAUGCUUCCUGCUUUUUAGGAUCUGAAGUUAACUGCAACUCCAAGUAUACAAGACUUCUUUGGGACCCAUGAAAGCAUCUCUACAUGCUCAUGUUUGCCAGAUUCAGUGGCCUGCUGAAACCUGGCCCUAGCUAAUAAGUUAAAAAGCUCUAAGUAAUCCCGAGCUGCAUUUGAAUCUCCAAGAUCACUUGUUCAUGGGUUGGUAAUACUUUAAAGAGCCAUUUGUUUAACUGCUAAUCUGGAUCUUAUAUUCUGAGCCCCAGCUUUUUUCUAAAGCAAAGAAAAUACAAAAUAAAAGUAAAACCAAAUGCCUUUGUACCAUGGAGAGAGAAAUGACUCAUUGGAAUGCUUCUGUUUUUCAUCACAUCAAGAUGCAUCAACAUAAAUCAACCAUUAUAUCAUGUACCAUGAUAAAAAAGGGGGAUAAAAGUCCCCAAACCACUGCC